CCGGGGUCCGGGAGGGACAUGGGGGGCCAGCGGCAGGUGGGACACCGGCCUGCAGAGGGCGCUCCGGAGGCUGGAGAGCUAAUUCCCUGGACAAUCAGCAGGGGGCGCCGCAGCGGAUACAUGAAUGAAGCUUAACGCCAUUGCUGAAUGGAAUUAACUUCCAUUAACGGAGACAAGAUUUAUCACUGCUUUGAGGAAGUGACAAUUGUGGCUUUUUUACGGGAGCCAGUGGGAGAGGUGAACGAAACUCCGCUUUGUUGACUGUCAAGCCACAAACCCAUUAAUCUGUACAAACAGAAGCUUCAACUAACACUGGGUUGGGAAGAGGGUCCUGCAGAAUCAAGAUUUAGUCGCUGUAUUAAAGGUAAGGACUGUAUCCACCUGAAAUCCCAAACAGGGGUUAAAAAUGUCUUCCUUAUACCCUGUGUGUGGGAAUUGGCUAUAUUGCAAACAUAAGAACUUCCAUACUGGGUCAGACCAAAGGUCCAUCUAGCCCAGUCUCCUGUCCUCAGAUAGUGGCCAGUGCCAGGUGCCCCAGAGGGAAUGAACAGAACAGGGAAUCAUCAAGUGCUCCAUCCCGAUGCAAAAAUGCAUGGCUUAAUGUACCAAUGCAGCUCCACCAGUCCCACCACUGGUAGAAGCUGUAGUGGAGACAGGAUGUGAGUGUUUUCAGGCAAAAUAAUUGUAAGCACAUCGGAGCCCUGUACCCUGCAGCUUUCACUAUUACUGUCACCAAUGGAACUAAACUGGUGGGCACCUGUGGUGAACUGGGCGCAUAACCGAUUUUUCCAGUUUGCUGACAAUUCUGACUCAAAACCUUUUGAUUUUGUGAAUUAACAUAUUUAAUUAAAUGUUUUGACUUUUUCAGAGUUUUUUAGCCAAAACAACUUGGCGAAACCGACACGAAUUCACAAAAUGCUGCCGAAUCUGCAUUUUAUGCCAGAAAAAUUUGACCACGCUCUAGCUAUGGGUUGUGGUUUGGGCAGCAAAAAUGCAGCCUUUCCUGGGACAACUUUCUUAGUAACCCAGGCAGUGGUGGGUUGAUUUAUGGUCCAAAGCAGGGAGUUGCUGUACUUAAUAUAUUUUUAUCCUAGCUAGUAUAACUGUGGAUAUUUUAAUUUCACACAAAUGUCUAAUCCUUUUUCUGAAAUCUACUAAGCUCUUGGCCUCAAUAUCUUGUGGCAAUGAGUUCCUCAUGUUAAAUACGUCUCAUGUAGAAAAUUAUUUCCUCUUAACUUUAAAGUGCAUACAUACAUAAAUUUUGUUGCCUUUUAAUUAUAUUUAGUUUCCUUUGUGCUCGUAUUACCAGGGACACAGGGUAAAUAGGUGGACUUGAUUUACCUUCUCUAAACCAUUCAUUAUUGUUACUUCUAGCAUGUCCCACAUUAUUAAUCUCUUCUCUAAAAAUGAGGUAUUCCUAGCAAUCUCUCCUCAGAUGGAAAUCAUUCCAAGACUCUUGUCAUUUUCCAAAUCUGAUUUAUACUUUCUGAGAUAAGGUGACCAGAACUGAACAUACUGUUUAAGGUGGGAAUGUGCCAUCACUGUCCAUAAUUAAUGAGAUCUCUACAAUGACACUUGGGUCUUCCAGCAGAUUUAGGAUCCAUCAAUGUCGAUGAGUAGUUCAAACUUUUUCUUCUAAUGGGUAUCACCUUGCACUUGGCUACACUUACUUUCGUCUGCCAUCAUAGAAUCAUAGAAUAUUAGGGUUGGAAGAGACCU
Chrysemys picta bellii (western painted turtle) is the source of this 1719-nucleotide non-coding RNA. Lineage: Eukaryota; Metazoa; Chordata; Testudines; Emydidae. The record is from RefSeq and is a predicted model, not a curated record.